This 254-nucleotide ribosomal RNA is filed under the name uncultured bacterium. RNAcentral's name for it is "partial 16S ribosomal RNA". It matches the Rfam family "Bacterial small subunit ribosomal RNA", at positions 524 to 776 of the family's 1533-position model. The record is from RNAcentral.
UACAGCGGGUGCGAGCGUUGUCCGGAAUCACUGGGCGUAAAGGGCGCGUAGGUGGUGGCUUAAGCGUGCGGUGAAAGCUCGGGGCUCAACUCCGAGUCGGCCGUGCGAACUGGGCUCACUGGAGCAUAGUAGAGGCAGGUGGAAUUCCGGGUGUAGCGGUGGAAUGCGUAGAGAUCCGGAAGAACACCGGUGGCGAAGGCGGCCUGCUGGGCUAUGGCUGACACUGAGGCGCGACAGCGUGGGGAGCAAACAGG